UAUAUCGGAACGUACCCAAGAGUGGGGAGUAACGUAGCGAAGUUACGCUAAUACCGCAUACGAUCUAUGGAUGAAAGACAGGGACCGUUCGGGCCGUUGUGCUCCUGGAGCGGCCGAUAUCUGAUUAGCUAGUUGGUGAGGUAAAGGCUCACCAAGGCGACGAUCAGUAGCUGGUCUGAGAGGACGACCAGCCACACUGGAACUGAGACACGGUCCAGACUCCUACGGGAGGCAGCAGUGGGGAAGUAUUGCACAAUGGGCGCAAGCCUGAUGCAGCCAUGCCGCGUGUGUGAAGAAGGC
RNAcentral lists this ribosomal RNA (300 nucleotides) under uncultured Oxalobacteraceae bacterium. Its description in RNAcentral is "bacterial SSU rRNA". It matches the Rfam family "Bacterial small subunit ribosomal RNA", at positions 114 to 415 of the family's 1533-position model. Lineage: Bacteria; Pseudomonadati; Pseudomonadota; Betaproteobacteria; Burkholderiales; Oxalobacteraceae. The record is from RNAcentral.